Eurytemora carolleeae is the source of this 2603-nucleotide RNA transcript. RefSeq lists it as uncharacterized. Lineage: Eukaryota; Metazoa; Arthropoda; Copepoda; Calanoida; Temoridae. The transcript has 10 exons. The record is from RefSeq and is a predicted model, not a curated record.
CGUUCUCAAUGUUCAUCUCCUUAUCAGAAUAUUCUCAAUAAUGCUUCAUCAUGUUUAUUAUAUAAGUCCAAGUAAGUUCAUCUCCUUAUCAGAAUAUUCUCAAUAAUGCUUCAUCAUGUUUAUUAUAUAAGUCCAAGAAAAAUGGUUGUAACCCAGGAGGAGAUCGAGAGAUUUCAGGAGGACGGAGCAAUUCUUCUCAAGCAGAAAAAUCUGGAAAAUCCAAGUGUAAACGCAGAGAGCAUUGCUUUGGAAGAGGGACAGGGGGCAUAUUUCAAUGAUUAUUGCAACUGGAGAAAAAUACCAGAGUUUAGAGAAUUUGUAUUUAACUCAGCUGCAGGAGAAAUAGCGGCGAAGGUUAUGAACUCAAAAUAUGCAGUUUUCUUUCAUGAACAUGUUUUAAACAAGGAACCAGGUACUGAGAAAUGUACUCCGUGGCACCAUGAUCAAGCAUAUUAUCCUAUUGAUGGUUGGAAUAUGAUCAGUUUAUGGAUACCAGUAGACCCAGUACCGGUACAGUCAACAUUGAGAUUUGUGAAGGGCUCCCAUAAGUGGGGUUGGUAUCAUCCAAGAAAAUUUGCGACUGAGUCUAAUUAUCCUGUCGCUGUUGAGCCUGAUAUCGACACAGAGACCGAUGGGGCAGGAGAGGUUGGUCGAGUUUAUCAAGAUGUUCCUCACAAGGAUAUAGAGGACGGUAAAUACCAGAUCCUCGAGUGGGAAUGUGAGCCGGGGGAUGUAGUUGUAUUCCAUGGUAAAACCCUGCACGGGGCGGGAGGGAACGCCUCUAGUAGUUCGCAUAGGCGUGUCCUCUCCACCAGAUGGGUGGGAGAAGGAACUGUAUUUGCUACAAGACCCUGGCAGGUGUCCCCGGAUCUAGAGAUAUAUGAAACAAAUUCUUCCUGUUUUAUAGGUGUCCCCAAAUCUAAAGGUUAUAAAAUGAAUUCUUCCUGUUCUAGGUGUCCCCGGAUCUAGAGAUUUUAAAAAAAAUUUCCUAUUCUAGAUGUUCCGGAUCUAGAGAUAUAUAAAACAAAUUCUUCCUGUUUUAUAGGUGUCCCCAAAUCUAAAGGUUAUAAAAUAAAUUCUUCCUGUUCUAGGUGUCCCCGGAUCUAGAGGUUUUAAAACAAAUUCUUCCUAUUCUAGGUGUCCCCAGAUCUAGAGGUUUAUAAAACAAAUUCUUCCUGUUCUAGAUGUCCCCGGAUCUAGAGGUUUAUAAAACAAAUUCUUCCUGUUCUAGAUGUCCCCGGAUCUAGAGGUUUAUUAAACAAAUUCUUCCUGUUCUAGGUGUCCCGGAUCUAGAGGUUUUAAAACAAAUUCUUCCUGUUUAGAUGUCCCCAGAUCUAGAGGUUUUAAAACAAAUUCUUCCUGUGCUAUAGGUGUCCCCGGAUCUUAUGAUUUUAAAACAAAUUCAUCCUGUUCUAGAUAUCCCCGGAUCUAGAGGUUUAUAAAAUAAAUUCUUCCUGUUCUAGGUGUCCCCGGAUCUAGAGAUAUAUAAAACAAAUUUUCCUAUUCUAGAUGUCCCCGAAUCUAGAGGUGUAUAAAAAUUUUUUUUGCCCUGCUAUAGGUGUCCCCGGAUCUAGAGGUUUAUAAAACAAAUUCUUCCUAUGCUAUAGGUGUCUCAGGAUCUAGAGCUUUAUAAAAUAAAUUCUUCACGUUCUAGAUGUCCCCGGAUCUAGAGGUUUUAAAACAAAAUUUUCCUAUUCUAGGUGUCCCAGGAUCUAGAGCUUUAUUAAAAAUUCUUCCUGUGCUAUAGGUGUCCUCGGAUCUAGAGCUUUAUAAAAUAAAUUCUUCUUGUGCUAUAGGUGUCCCUGGAUCUAGAGGUUUAUAAAAUAAAUUCUUCCUAUUCUAGGUGUCCCCGGAUCUAUAGGUUUAUAAAAUAAAUUCUUCCUAUUCUAGGUGUCCCCGAAUCUAGAGAUUUAUAAAACAAAUUCUUCCUAUUCUAGAUGUCCCCAAAUCUAGAGAUUUAUAAAACAAAUUCUUCCUAUUCUAGAUGUCCCCGAAUCUAGAGGUUUAUAAAAUAAAUUCUUCCUAUUCCAGAUGUCCCCAAAUCUAGAGAUUUAUAAAAUAAAUUCUUCCUAUUCUAGGUUUUACAAGAUCUACAUAUUUAUAAAACAAAAUCUUCCUAUUCUUGGUGUCCCCGGAUCUAGAGGCUUUAAAACAAAUUCUUCCUAUUCUAGGUUUUACAAGAUCUACAUAUUUAUAAAACAAAAUCUUCCUGUUCUAGAUGUCCCCGGAUCUAGAGGCUUUAAAACAAAUUCUUCCUAUUCUUGGUGUCCCCGGAUCUAGAGGCUUUAAAACAAAUUCUUCCUAUUCUAGGUUUUACAAGAUCUACAUAUUUAUAAAACAAAAUCUUCCUGUUCUAGAUGUCCCCGGAUCUAGAGGCUUUAAAACAAAUUCUUCCUAUUCUAGGUGUCCCCGGAUCUUGAGGUUUUAAAACAAAUUCAUCCUAUUCUAGGUGUCCCCGGAUCUAGAGGUUUUAAAACAAAUUCUUCCUGUUCUAGGUGUCCCCGAAUCUAGAGAUUUAUAAAGUAAAUUUUUCCUAUUCUAGGUGUCCCCGAAUCUAGAGGUUUAUAAAGCAAAUUCUUCCUAUUCCAGAUGUCCCCAAAUCU